Heterocephalus glaber (naked mole-rat) is the source of this 701-nucleotide non-coding RNA. Lineage: Eukaryota; Metazoa; Chordata; Mammalia; Rodentia; Bathyergidae. The record is from RefSeq and is a predicted model, not a curated record.
CGUCAGCCUCAGAACUCAUCUGGUAAUGUUUGAAAGCUGACAUGUUAAAGACGGGGAGUUUUUCUAUGGACUCAGAAGACAAAGCCUAAAGGAAGAGGGAAAAAAUAUCAGACCAAAGAAAUAUGGGUAGCAUAAUUUGCACUUUAAGUGAUUAUUCAAAAUUCAUCCUGAGCAAUUCUUGCUCUACAUUUAGAACCAGGUGGCUGGGAUGGAUUUAGCCAUAUAAUUGGCCUUACCAAAGGAGCAUUCCGGGAAUUAUCCAUCACAGGUGUUGGCGCUGUGGAGUAUGUGUAACUGAAGAGGCGGUCAAUAAUCCUCAGCGGAACACCACCUCCUCUGUCAGAAAUCUGAAAUAAACGAGUCAUCAUAGCUACACAUUAAAAACAACGUGAACUUGUCUAUACUAAAAAGUCUUCUCUUCAUUAUAAAAGUCACCUGGUAUACAUGAUUUGGAGCCAUUGUCCAAAGCAAGGAGCCUUAUUAUUAUUGACAUUUUUAAAAUUCUCUCAAGAAAGAACCAGAAGAAAAGUAGAGAAUGGAUACCUUAAUUGUAAGGUCUUCUUUUCCCAAAACCACAAUCACUUCAAUUGGCGCAAGGGAAGGGCAGUUUUCCUGGUGCUCAACGGUUGCCCUCAUUGCAUUCUAAGGAAAAAGAAAACCAUAAGGAAUUCAAUGGCAGAAGAAUGAGGAACAAUAAAUAA